This 433-nucleotide ribosomal RNA is filed under the name Planctomycetota bacterium. RNAcentral describes it as "bacterial SSU rRNA". It matches the Rfam family "Bacterial small subunit ribosomal RNA", at positions 1 to 435 of the family's 1533-position model. Lineage: Bacteria; Pseudomonadati; Planctomycetota. The record is from RNAcentral.
CAAGUGAAGGGUUUGAUCCUGGCUCAGAACGAACGUUAGCGGUGUGGAUUAGGCAUGCAAGUCGUGCGUGAAAGGCGCAAGCCGAGUAAAGCGGCGAAAGGGUGAGUAACACGUAACCAAUCUACCCCUGAGACUGGGAUAACCUGCUGAAAGGCGGGCUAAUACCAGAUGGCCCUGCGUCGAGGCAUCUCGAUGCGGGUAAAUGGCGUAAGCUGCUCGGGGAGGAGGUUGCGGCCUAUCAGCUAGUUGGCGGGGUAAUGGCCCACCAAGGCUAUGACGGGUACCCGGUCUGAGAGGAUGGUCGGGCACACUGGGACUGAGACACUGCCCAGACUCCUACGGGAGGCUGCAGUCGAGGAUCUUCCGCAAUGGGCGAAAGCCUGACGGAGCGACACCGCGUGCAGGAUGAAGGCCUUCGGGUUGUAAACUGCUG